This 74-nucleotide transfer RNA is filed under the name Bacteroidaceae bacterium. RNAcentral describes it as "tRNA-Met". It matches the Rfam family "tRNA". Rfam says of the family: Transfer RNA (tRNA) molecules are approximately 80 nucleotides in length. Their secondary structure includes four short double-helical elements and three loops (D, anti-codon, and T loops). Lineage: Bacteria; Pseudomonadati; Bacteroidota; Bacteroidia; Bacteroidales; Bacteroidaceae. The record is from RNAcentral.
CGCGGAGUGGUAGCAGUUGGUAGCUCGCCAGGCUCAUAACCUGGAGGUCAUUGGUUCGAGUCCAAUCUCCGCAA